GCGCCCGUAGCUCAGCCGGAUAGAGCAGUGGACUUCUAAUCCGAAGGUCGCAGGUUCGAAUCCUGCCGGGCGCGCCA
RNAcentral lists this transfer RNA (77 nucleotides) under Coriobacteriaceae bacterium. RNAcentral's name for it is "tRNA-Arg". It matches the Rfam family "tRNA". From Rfam's summary of the family: Transfer RNA (tRNA) molecules are approximately 80 nucleotides in length. Their secondary structure includes four short double-helical elements and three loops (D, anti-codon, and T loops). Lineage: Bacteria; Bacillati; Actinomycetota; Coriobacteriia; Coriobacteriales; Coriobacteriaceae. The record is from RNAcentral.